UCACAAGCUCUGCAAGAGCCCUAAAUAACACCAGCUAAUUUACAACUGGAUCUCCUUCACCCAACUCAGUUUGUUUGGCUCUAGUGCAGAAAGACUGGUUUGGAGGCCCUUUUGUGAGGCUGACAGGAGGAGGUUUAGCUGAGGGAUUUGUCCAACCCUGUGAUUUUUUCAUCUCUGAUUUGCUAUGCAGUCUAAUGACUGUGCAGCUCUGGGUUACCCUGUAAUUUGUCCCUCUGACAAGCCAGCCUGCUGUGUCAAAGCCAGCAGAUGGUGCUCCCAGCCUGGCCUUGGCUGGGCUGCAGCUCAGCCCUCCCGUGGAAGAGCAUCCCUGGAUUGCAGGGGUGCAGGGAAAUGCUGCUCUUCUAGGCAUGGCCACGUCCAGCACAGACAACAGGCUCUGCACAAGAUCCAAGCUUAGAAAUUCUCCUUUCCUCCUCCCUGUUUCUCCAGACCGAGGAUCUUGAGGCUCAGAGCAGGUAAAGUCCAAAGAUGAUUCUGACUGGUUGUGUCACAGCAGUGGUGUGGAGCUGCUGGUGGCUGUGCCCAGAGCUGGAGGUCAGUGCCACGGUGCAGCUGCCACCUGUGUGCUGCAGCACACUCUCCACAGCCAGCCACUGUGGUGGCCGAUGAGACUCACACCAACACCUGGCCUUAGCUCAGGGAUGAGCAGAUGCUCACCAACUCUCAGCAGGAAGGUGGAUGUAAGGCUGUCAGCAGUAUGCACAGAUCUGUAUCCACACUUCACUGAUGUGCCUUUUAACAGGUCCUGGGACAAACCCCAAGGUCAGGGACCAGCAAAUCUGGCUCAGCUCUUUGCCCUACAACAGCAAUGAAAACUGCACUGGGAUUGCAGUACCUUUUUGGACACAGAGUCAAACCUUUCCUCUCCUCAGUUUUGAGAGAUAUGGCAACAUAAUUCAGACUUCAUGCCAUCUGGGUGGCCGAAGGGGAGUCUGUGAUUCAGACACAUUGCGCCUGCAGUUCCCGGUCCGACUCCAGGGUGGCGAUGCUGCCUCAGCUCUUACUCCGGCUAAUAACGCUCACUGUGCACUCUGCGAAGGGAUUUUUUUAUUAGCACCACUGAGUGUUCUGAAAGAUGAUUGCAUAUGGCAGGAGUCAUUCUUACAACCACGGUCUGCCUGGUUUUGCUACAUCUGAAGCCGUGCGUGUAGCUGCUGCAACAUCCCUUACCUGCCCAUGGAUUGUAACCAGGGGAAGAACAGAGUGUCCUAAGAAAUUACACGUGUCUUGUUUCUUUUUAUUAUUUUUUAUUACAGAUGGUGUCAGUCAUUGGUAAGUGGUUAUGCUAAGAGGAGAUAACAUAUCCCACCCAGGACACAGGCGCUUCUAAUUCCAGCUCAGCCUUUGAUCAUGGAUAAAUUAUUCUUCUUUCACAUGCUUCAGUCUCUCUCCCCAUUCAAAUGUCUGUUUAGACUGUAAGCUUUUGGAGACAGUGGGUGUCUCAUAGCGUGCAGAUACAGAAUGUAGUACUGAAACUGUACAGCACCCAGAACAAUGGAGACCUUGAUCUUGAUGGCAGCCUUCACCCAUUAUCUUAAUAGAAGCAUCCAAGUCUAUAUUUGAAACAAUUUAUCUGAACAAUCUUUUGGCCAUAAUGACUCCAGAUCAGACACAUGAUAAAAAGUGACAGAGGAAAUUGUGUAUGUAAAGCCAUUUUAUAUCUUUGAAAUGACUGAAGAUGUAGCUAUUGCAGUCCAAGUGGAGGUUAGUGCCCUCCAAGUGGCAGCGCUGCACCUCAGACACGAAGUAUGUGCCAUUUCCAUUGCCUGCUAGAAGCUUUCUUCUGAGUAGGGAAGAGAAAUUAACUCCAAGUCUUGGAUCCCAAAGGGCAAUUUUGUAGCAAUUGUGGCUCUCUGCAGGAAGCAACUCCUUAGAGG
RNAcentral lists this long non-coding RNA (1898 nucleotides) under Taeniopygia guttata (zebra finch). Its description in RNAcentral is "lncRNA (ENSTGUG00000026209.1)". The record is from RNAcentral. Lineage: Eukaryota; Metazoa; Chordata; Aves; Passeriformes; Estrildidae.